CGCUUUUGUGGGGUGCUCGAGUGGCGAACGGGUGAGUAACACGUGAGUAACCUGCCCUUGACUUUGGGAUAACUUCAGGAAACUGGGGCUAAUACCGGAUAGGAGCUCCUGCUGCAUGGUGGGGGUUGGAAAGUUUCGGCGGUCGGGGAUGGACUCGCGGCUUAUCAGCUUGUUGGUGGGGUAGUGGCUUACCAAGGCUUUGACGGGUAGCCGGCCUGAGAGGGUGAACGGCCACAUUGGAACUGAGAAACGGUCCAA
This 258-nucleotide ribosomal RNA is filed under the name uncultured Actinomycetales bacterium. RNAcentral describes it as "partial 16S ribosomal RNA". It matches the Rfam family "Bacterial small subunit ribosomal RNA", at positions 76 to 334 of the family's 1533-position model. Lineage: Bacteria; Bacillati; Actinomycetota; Actinomycetes; Actinomycetales. The record is from RNAcentral.